AUGCAAGUCGGACGGGAUCCGUCGGAGAGCUUGCUCGAAGACGGUGAGAGUGGCGCACGGGUGCGUAACGCGUGAGCAACCUACCUCUAUCAGGGGGAUAGCCUCUCGAAAGAGAGAUUAACACCGCAUAACAUAUGUGACCGGCAUCGGUUGGAUAUUAAAUAUUUAUAGGAUAGAGAUGGGCUCGCGUGACAUUAGCUAGUUGGUAGGGUAACGGCUUACCAAGGCGACGAUGUCUAGGGGCUCUGAGAGGAGAAUCCCCCACACUGGUACUGAGACACGGACCAGACUCCUACGGGAGGCAGCAGUAAGGAAUAUUGGUCAAUGGGCGGAAGCCUGAACCAGCCAUGCCGCGUGCAGGAUGACUGCCCUAUGGGUUGUAAACUGCUUUUGUCCAGGAAUAAACCUNUAUACGUGUAUNNAGCUGAAUGUACUGGAAGAAUAAGGAUCGGCUAACUCCGUGCCAGCAGCCGCGGUAAUACGGAGGAUCCGAGCGUUAUCCGGAUUUAUUGGGUUUAAAGGGUGCGUAGGCGGCCUAUUAAGUCAGGGGUGAAAUACGGUGGCUCAACCAUCGCAGUGCCUUUGAUACUGAUGGGCUUGAAUCCAUUUGAAGUGGGCGGAAUAAGACAAGUAGCGGUGAAAUGCAUAGAUAUGUCUUAGAACUCCGAUUGCGAAGGCAGCUCAUCUAAGCUGGUAUUGACGCUGAUGCACGAAAGCGUGG
This 721-nucleotide ribosomal RNA is filed under the name Sphingobacterium sp. RI35. RNAcentral's name for it is "bacterial SSU rRNA". It matches the Rfam family "Bacterial small subunit ribosomal RNA", at positions 55 to 764 of the family's 1533-position model. The record is from RNAcentral. Lineage: Bacteria; Pseudomonadati; Bacteroidota; Sphingobacteriia; Sphingobacteriales; Sphingobacteriaceae.